CGGAGCUGCUCCCUGGACCUGCGGGAGGUGCUCUGCGACCGCCCACGCCCCGGCCCGCGGCGCGUCCCGGACGUCCACGCUUGCGUUUCUGCGGAUCGUGGGAAUCCUUCUGCGUGGGUCUGUCUCACACCUUAACUUGAAGUUAGUGAGAUCCGCGGUAUGCGGGUUCCACCGCUGGGGAGUUUUAGAAAUGCUAACCGAGCUCAGGUUUUGAACAUGUCUGGGACUGUGAAUUGGCUGCCAGAAUGAAGUGAGUAACUGCUAUCUAAAGACUGUUAAAAUCUGAUGGGAUAAACAGGUUACAUGAGGACUGAUAAUGGGAAGAGAAAGCCCCGACUGGCAUCACCCUGGGUUCAAGCAGCCAAAGGCAUGAAAAGUUUGACCUUGGCCUUUUAUUUCUUAGAACAGUUUAGGCUAAUCCCUACGGGUAUGCUGCUGCCAAGUUGGUUCUUUUACUGUGCUCAUCAGAAGUGCCAGAAAAAUACCCGCACCCGCCCCCCAUUUAGCCUCUGGAAGAAGAUGUUCUAAAGGGCUCACAAACAUCCAGAUGUAGCUCUUACCAAGCUCCAGCGUCAGAAGGAGUGCCUCAGCGUCUAAGUCCGUAUAUACACACACGGCUUUUCAUGCAUCCUCUGCUGGGGAGGUCACAAUCUGAGGCACCCUUUAAAGCCACUUCUGGGAGAAAAGAAAGAGAAAAAAAAAAAUCAACCACUGAACGUCUAGUGAGCUGUUUCCUAAGGAGGCAUCAACAAACUCCUACCAGCCCCAGUCCUCAGUAACGUCAUGAGAUGGGCUGCUUGUGGUUGUCAAAACUGAUCUUCCCACUGCGGGUGAACACGUACGGCGGAUUGUUAUGGCUUAGGGCGCUUGACUGCACCGCUGUGAAAAUAUUCAGCAGAAUUCCACAAGCUCUUUGUUUGCCUUGCCUUAGUGGAAAUUCCUCCAGCUAUCCAAACACGCACCUGGGGGAGGUGUUUUUUUUUUCCCCCUCCACAUUUCAGGAAGGGGUUUCUUCUAAGUAAAAAUGUGUCCUUACCUCUCUUCUAAGUUCUCAGGCAAGACUUCUGGUUUGAGUUGAAGAUGACUAUGAAUGUGUUCUGGUUGGAAAGGGAGGUGGAGUUGGAGGAGCCGGAGAGGUCUGUAGCAAAUGUUCCUCCAACAGAGCUAAGCUGGGAAAAGGAAAGCCAAUGGAAGCCAACAAAGAAGGAAGCACGAAGCAAGGCUCCCCCAGAUUCCUAGAAGCCCAGGAACACAAAAGCCAGGAAGAUGAAUCGUCUUUUACAGUAGUAGACCUGUAUAUAGGAACGGGGAAGAUUCUAGGGUGAAAGAUCCGGGCUGCCGCUGGUCACCCAGAAGGGAGUAUGUACCUUGAGUUUCGUAACACGGAAUGGAAGUUUGGAGGCCCCUUGAAAAGAACCAAAGCACAAAGGAAGUUGGGCCUGAAGAAGGCUGGGAGACCUCUCACGCAGAGACCCAGGGCUCAGGACAGAGAAAGGAAGGUAGAACGCCAAGUGGAUCUCAUAUUUGCUCUGCGGGCUUCUGGGAAGUGUUUGAAAACAUUCUAUUUAAACUGUGCCUCUUAAGAGAGCUCUCCACUUACAUCUAACUCAGUGUGCUCAUAUUAGCAAAUAGAAAUUAUGGGAACAUUC
RNAcentral lists this long non-coding RNA (1649 nucleotides) under Mus musculus (house mouse). Its description in RNAcentral is "RIKEN cDNA 4930556M19 gene". Lineage: Eukaryota; Metazoa; Chordata; Mammalia; Rodentia; Muridae. The record is from RNAcentral.